AUUCUAGUAGGACUAAGGAUUUACUCUAGUGGAUAUUUUCUUUUUAGUCUGCGGAUCUGGUCCGUCGUGUCCAGUAGUUGGGUGACUAGUGGGUUGUGGUGGUUGUUGACUCUUGUGUUAUAUCUGCUUCUGGACUUGUGUAUUUCAUCUUUGACUGUAGAUAUCUUGAGGUCUCGGUGGAUUGUUUCGUUGGUAACAUACCAGGGUGCAUUUAAUAGGGAUCUUAGCGUUUUCGAUUGGAAGCGUUGGAGUAUUUCAAUGUUGGAGUUACUUGCUGUUCCCCAUAGUUGGAUUCCGUAGGUCCAGACAGGUUUUAUUAUGGCCUUGUAGAGGGUUAUUUUGUUCUGUAUGUUUAGUUUGGAGCGUCGGCCCGUGAGCCAAUAGAAUUUUCUUAGUUUUUCCUUUAGUUGCUUUGUUUUUUCCGAGAUAUGUUUUUUCCAGGUUAGCCUCCUGUCCAGGGUCAUGCCCAGGUAUCUUACGGAGUCCUUGCUUGGGAUUAUUGUGUUGUUAAUGGUGACCUGGGGGCAGGUUUGUUUUCGGAGCGUGAAGAUUACAUGGGAGGAUUUUUUUUUCGUUUAUUUUAAAACCCCAUUUUUGAAACCACUUUUCCAUGGAGUCGAGACUUCGCUGGAGAGUGGAUGAGGCAAUUGCCGGGUCUGCGUGGGUAGCUAAUAGUGCUGUGUCGUCGGAAAAUGUUGCUAUUGUUACCUCGUUUGAUAUGGGUAAGUCGGCAGUGUAGAUGGAGAACAGUAGGGGUCCGAGGUC
Molecule: unclassified non-coding RNA, 765 nt
Filed under: Bombus terrestris (buff-tailed bumblebee)
Lineage: Eukaryota; Metazoa; Arthropoda; Insecta; Hymenoptera; Apidae
Description: misc RNA ENSBTSG00005035618.1
Source: RNAcentral